This 108-nucleotide small nuclear RNA is filed under the name Myotis davidii. The record is from RNAcentral. Lineage: Eukaryota; Metazoa; Chordata; Mammalia; Chiroptera; Vespertilionidae.
GUGCUCGCUCCGGCAGCACAUAUACUAAAUAUUGGAAUGAUACAGAGAAGAUUAGCACGGCCCCUGCAGAAGAAUGACAUGCAGGUUCAUGAAUUUUCCAUAUUUUUU